RNAcentral lists this unclassified non-coding RNA (334 nucleotides) under soil metagenome. RNAcentral's name for it is "partial contains 5.8S ribosomal RNA, internal transcribed spacer 2, and large subunit ribosomal RNA". The stretch from base 1 to 120 matches the Rfam family "5.8S ribosomal RNA", at positions 35 to 154 of the family's 154-position model. The record is from RNAcentral.
GAUGAAGAACGUAGCGAAAUGCGAUAAGUAGUGUGAAUUGCAGACUUUAGUGAAUCAUCGAAUCUUUGAACGCACAUUGCGCCCGCCAGUAUUCUGGCGGGCAUGCCUGUUCGAGCGUCAUUUCAACCAUCAAGCCCCCGGCUUGUGUUGGGGACCUGCGGCUGCCGCAGGCCCUGAAAACCAGUGGCGGGCUCGCUAGUCACUCCGAGCGUAGUAAUACAUCUCGCUCAGGGCGUGCUGCGGGUUCCGGCCGUUAAAAGCCUUAUUUACCCAAGGUUGACCUCGGAUCAGGUAGGAAGACCCGCUGAACUUAAGCAUAUCAAUAAGCGGAGGA